GCCGGGGUGGCGGAAUGGUAGACGCAACGGACUUAAAAUCCGUUGGCCCAGUGGGCCGUGCGGGUUCGAGUCCCGCCCUCGGUA
RNAcentral lists this transfer RNA (84 nucleotides) under Acidobacteriota bacterium. RNAcentral describes it as "Acidobacteria bacterium tRNA-Leu". It matches the Rfam family "tRNA". From Rfam's summary of the family: Transfer RNA (tRNA) molecules are approximately 80 nucleotides in length. Their secondary structure includes four short double-helical elements and three loops (D, anti-codon, and T loops). The record is from RNAcentral. RNAcentral also lists the same sequence under 1 other name. Lineage: Bacteria; Pseudomonadati; Acidobacteriota.